RNAcentral lists this ribosomal RNA (465 nucleotides) under uncultured Verrucomicrobiota bacterium. Its description in RNAcentral is "bacterial SSU rRNA". It matches the Rfam family "Bacterial small subunit ribosomal RNA", at positions 560 to 1022 of the family's 1533-position model. Lineage: Bacteria; Pseudomonadati; Verrucomicrobiota. The record is from RNAcentral.
GUAAAGGGUGCGUAGGCGGCCUCGUAUGUCGGAUGUGAAAGCUUACGGCUCAACCGUGAAAUGGCAUCCGAAACUGCGGAGCUAGAGUACAGGAGAGGAGAGCGGAAUUCUCGGUGUAGCGGUGAAAUGCGUAGAUAUCGAGAGGAACGCCGGAGGCGAAGGCGGCUCUCUGGAAUGAUACUGACGCUGAGGCACGAAAGCUGGGGUAGCGAACAGGAUUAGAUACCCUGGUAGUCCCAGCCGUAAACGUUGUGCACUUGGUGUGGGAGGAUUGUCACCUUCCGCGCCGGAGCUAACGCGUUAAGUGCACCGGACGGGGAGUACGGCCGCAAGGCUAAAACUCAAAGGAAUAGACGGGGGCCCGCACAAGCGGUGGAGCAUGUGGCUUAAGUCGAUGCAACGCGAAGAACCGAACCAGGGCUCGACAUGGUGCUGCUGUCCCCCAGAAAGGGGGGAGUACUUGAA